This is a non-coding RNA of Salmo salar (Atlantic salmon), 1208 nucleotides long. Lineage: Eukaryota; Metazoa; Chordata; Actinopteri; Salmoniformes; Salmonidae. The record is from RefSeq and is a predicted model, not a curated record.
AAGGACGAGACUGGCGAGGCCACCUCCAAGGCGAUGGUGGACAUCUUCAACACCGGUUCUCCUGAGGUCAUCUUGAGUGACCGAGGUCAUGAACGCUGGAACAAGGUUUGGUGAAUCGACCAACCAGACCCUCAAGAUUGCCAUGGAAGCCCCUUGUUGGUACAAGGAAGGGUUGGAGAACAACCUGAAGGUUGGGAGCUGCAGCUGUUGACUGAGAUCACUGAAACCCCACCUGAUGUGGUGGAAGUCGUCGAACCAGAUCAGAACGCCUUCGAGGACCACCUCCAGGCAUGGACUGAGAAGGAUGUGGAGGUUUUUGACCAGGUGAAACUGAACAUGGACAAGGCGCAGGAGAAACAGAAUGAGAGCUACCGUAGCAGAGUCAUUAAGGAGAUCAAGUGCUAUGACAUACCGGCAAAUUACUUGGUUUGGAAGAAGGAUGAAAGGAAUGCGAGACCUGGGAAACCUCGCUGCUCUUUCGCUCCUAGCUGGGGUCACCAUCUAUUAAAGUGAAUAUAAAAAAUGAUUUGCACACAAAAUUACCUGAAGCUAGUAUUAGUUUCCCUAACACUAAUAUUUUGAUCUUUGUCUUCCUAUGCUUACCUCGGUGGUGAAAGCCAACAAUCUUCUACAGUUGGAGCAGUUGGACGGUCGACCACUGAAAGCACUGACACCCUACACUUCAGUGAAGCCCAAUAGAAAAAGACCAUCGACUGUCUGAGCCCCCCAGGAGGUAUCCCAUCCACCAGAACCAGGGAGUUCAGAUCAGUCUGAUUCUCUGUGCUCUGAGUCGGAGGGGAACCAGUUUGAGAGCUAGGGGUUCUGCCCAACACCCAGACGUGGAUCCACCUGAUGUCCUCCAUUACCAACCACCUUUCAUUACAUCAUCUACAGCUACUGUUGUUGUCAUUAUCUGCUAAGAAAGUUGUUUUGCUCUAUCAUACUGGGCACAUAAUAUGUGAGAUACACAGAUUAACUAAAAACACUAGUCCUGCAAACACUCAGAACAAAGCGAGCAGCAGGGCCUGGACUUUGCAGUCUCCCUCUUCAAGUCCCCCUUCCGAGACUGGCUGCCUGUUGAGAACAAGUGACAGGCAGAACCUCCCACCCACACAGCAACCACCUCAUCUAUUUUCCACACACCAGAAUGCAGUAUUUUAGUCUAUGAUUGCCAUGCGAGUGUACAAAAAAAUCUGUGAAAAUAAAUG